Molecule: ribosomal RNA, 434 nt
Filed under: uncultured bacterium
Lineage: Bacteria
Description: partial 16S ribosomal RNA
Rfam family: Bacterial small subunit ribosomal RNA
Source: RNAcentral
AGCGAACGCUGGCGGCAGGCCUGACACAUGCAAGUCGAACGAACCUUUCGGGGUUAGUGGCGGACGGGUGAGUAACACGUUGGAACGUGCCUUUAGGUUCGGAAUAACUCAGGGAAACUUGUGCUAAUACCGAAUGUGCCCUUCGGGGGAAAGAUUUAUCGCCUUUAGAGCGGCCCGCGUCUGAUUAGCUAGUUGGUUGAGGUAAUGGCUCACCAAGGCGACGAUCAGUAGCUGGUCUGAGAGGAUGAUCAGCCACAUUGGGACUGAGACACGGCCCAAACUCCUACGGGAGGCAGCAGUGGGGAAUCUUGCGCAAUGGGCGAAAGCCUGACGCAGCCAUGCCGCGUGAAUGAUGAAGGUCUUAGGAUUGUAAAAUUCUUUCACCGGGGACGAUAAUGACGGUACCCGGAGAAGAAGCCCCGGCUAACUUCGUG